UAGGGAAUCUUCGGCAAUGGACGAAAGUCUGACCGAGCAACGCCGCGUGAGUGAAGAAGGUUUUCGGAUCGUAAAACUCUGUUGGUAGAGAAGAACGUUGGUGAGAGUGGAAAGCUUUCGUCAAGUGACGGUAAUCAACCAGAAAGUCACGGCUAACUACGUGCCAG
Molecule: ribosomal RNA, 167 nt
Filed under: uncultured bacterium
Lineage: Bacteria
Description: partial 16S rRNA
Rfam family: Bacterial small subunit ribosomal RNA
Source: RNAcentral